RNAcentral lists this ribosomal RNA (396 nucleotides) under Triticum aestivum (bread wheat). RNAcentral's name for it is "partial small subunit ribosomal RNA". The record is from RNAcentral. Lineage: Eukaryota; Viridiplantae; Streptophyta; Magnoliopsida; Poales; Poaceae.
CAGCAGCGCCAUCCUCAUAUGACCGCACCACCACAGACAGUGGCCACUCGAAAAAACGGGGGCGAUGAGGAGGCCAGGACCUUGGCACAGACCCGUGCUCCCAGCACCGGAUCCCUCCUCGUCGCAGGGCCAGCCCUCCCGCCGGCUUGGUGGCCCGUGUUUGGGCAGCCGCCGCGGCGUCGUCGUCGGCGGAUGCGGUGGCGGGGGACUGCCACGGCUUCCGGCCGUGGGUUCCGGCGAUGCCAAGCUGUAGAUCUGAGCCGCCGUCUCCAUUUCAUUUCGUCCAUGUUUCGAUCUGGUACCUCCACUCCUCACCACCUCUCCCCCUCUCAUCCACCCGCCCAGCUCCUCCACUUUAAGAUGCAGAUUGAAAGCCAUCAGGCGCUUUGACUUCUA